This 3591-nucleotide long non-coding RNA is filed under the name Canis lupus familiaris (dog). Its description in RNAcentral is "lncRNA (ENSCAFG00845027876.1)". Lineage: Eukaryota; Metazoa; Chordata; Mammalia; Carnivora; Canidae. The record is from RNAcentral.
UCCUACCUUUCCUCAGGUCAACAGAUCCUAAUGAGGCUCAUUCCGAAAUUCCUUUAAAUUUACCCACCCACUCACCCACCCACCAGAUCCUGCUCUUUUGCCAUUCUCUGACUUGUUUGACACUUUAAAAGCCUUAUAACUGACCUUCCUGAAGCUUCUACUCUCUUCUCUCUUUGGUUCAUUCACUCUGUAGCUGCCAGUUGCCUUCAGAAAUCACUGAUGUGAUUGUAUAAUUCUCCAGCUUAAAAUAUAGCAAGAGCUUUUUAUUGUGUAUAGCAGCACUGCCCACUAGAAAUUUCUGUGAUGAUGGAAAUGUUUUGUAUCUGUCUGUGCUGCCCAGUGUAGUAGCUGUGAACCACAUUUGGCUAUAGAGCACUUGAAAUUUGUCUGGUGAGACUGAGCGACUGAAUUUUUACUCUUUUAAUUAAAUUGAUAAUGGCUGCCAUACUGGACAGUGUAGGUCUACAGGAUAAAGUAUAGCCUUCCUAUUUCUAUCAUAACUAUUUUCUCUUUUCCCACACACGAAACGUAUAUAAAACUGUUCUAAUGCAGUAGUUUGAAAUCUUUUUACCUUAAUCCACACUAAGAAAUGCUUUUUCUGUUGUGAUUAUGACAAGUAUAGAUGGUCAUAAAUCCGCACCAAAUAUUUAUUGAGUAUCUGCUACAUAUACAGCCUGACAAUACACCUACAAAGAGAACAGGCAAGGUUCUCUACCCCCUGGGCGCUAACACUCUAUUGGUGAGAAGCACAAAGUAAAAUAAAUCAAGUAUCAUGAAAGUAAAUUGUAUAGUGUAUUGGAAGGUGAUGGCUAAAGGGAAAAGCAGAGCAGGAAGGAGAGGAUCAGCCUGCUGGGGAGUGUGGGGAGCAGACUGGAGGAUUAAAGAAGGUGGCCAGGGUAGGCUUCUGGGAGGAGAAACAAACACUUAAAGGGAGUGGAGAUAGCAAGUGGGUGUCUGGAGGGGCCAUACUCAAUCCACAGAGGAGGGACCAGAGCAAAGGCCCUGGUUAGGAAUGCACAGGCCAGUGUAGGGAAUAGCAAGGGAAGCUAGGUGGUAGUGAUGUGUGUGGGGGGUCAGUGAGUAGAGAGGGGUGGCACAGGCAGGAGUGGACCAGAAAGGGAGCCCUGGAAAGGAUGCCUGAGCACUCAUGUAUCUGCCAUCAUAGGCACUCUAGACACUGAUUUUUUCUUAUCCACCAUAAUCCUCUCCAACCUCUCAGAAGUAACUGCUCUUCUUGUUCUUAGAGUAAUCUCAUUCUUCUUUCGUUCAUCCUUUACUGCUAUUGUUGCAUCUCUAAAUAAUAUUAUUUUCUUCUUUUUCAUUUUUAUAUACAUGGAAUGAUGAUAUGUGAAUUCCUUCUUGUGACUUUUUGGCUCUACAUUAAGUUUGUAAAAUUUAUUGAUGUUUUUGUGUUUAUCUACAGUUUCUUAUUCUCACUGGUAUAUACUAUUCCAUUGUGUGAAUAUUCCACAAAUUUUUCUAUUGAUAGACAUUUAUGUUGUGUUUAGUUUUGAACAUUUCUGAAUAGUGCUGCUCUGAGCACUUGUAUAUAUAUUCUUAUUCUGGUGCAUAUAAGCACAUGUAUCUCUAUAAUAUGCACCAAGGUGCUAAAUUUUGAAUGAUCAGUUAGCACAUCCUCAGCUUCAUCCAGUAAUGUCACAGUAUUUUCCAAAAUGAUUUUUAUAAGUUUGUAUAUAUUAGAAUGCCCAUUGUCCUAUAUCCUUGCCAAUACUUCAUAUUGUCACACUUCUAAGUGUGACAGUUUUCUGUUUUGUUUGUGACAGUUUUUGUCACAUCCCUUGAAGUUUCCCUUCACAUACCUCUGUUAAUGGAAUUGAGCACCUUUUUGCAUGUUUAAAGGCCACUGGAUUUCUACUUUUGGUGAAGUGCCUGUUUUGAAGUCUUUUGCCCAUCUUUCUAGUUGGCUUUCACUGUUUCUCACUAAUUUGUGACCAUCCUUUAUAUUUUCAGCAUAUUGUCCCCUGUCAGUUACACAUAUACAUACACUUUCCCGCGAUAUGUAGCUUUUUUGGCUCAGUCUAUUAAUCAUGCCUUUGGUUGUAGGGUACUUUAAAUUUUAAUGUAGUAGAAUUUAUCAAUCUUUUGCUUUAUGGUUAGGUGGUUUUUUUUUUUUUUUUUGUAUCUUGUUUAAGAGAUCUUUUCCUACUCUCCAGCUCCAAAGAUAUUUUAUCUUCUCUUCUAAAAGUUGUACAGUGUCAAUCUUCACAUGUAGGCCUUUAGUUCACUGGAAACUGACUUUUCUGUAUGGUGAAAGGGUUUCUUCAGAAGGAGUUUAACAGUCCCCCCCCCCCCCCCCCCCCCGCCUGCCAGUAUGGAUUGCCAACUCUGUGCUAGUCUAUUUCUUUAAAUUGUUUCUGAUGGCGACCCAUUAAAUUUAUUUCAUGCCCCACUAAUAAUAACCUACCUGGCAGUUUAAAAACCUGCUCUAGUGUUACCUAACCACUUCUUAAAUGCCCACUGGAAUUGGUUAUAAGUAACAGAAUCUCAGUUUGAACUUCUAAAAACAAACACAACAAAAAACAUGACAGGAGUAUGUGUGUGUGUGUGCAUAUCUCCCAGAACCUUAUGGCAAGGAUAGCCUUCGGAAUAGAUCGAAGUUCUGCAGUCUGCACAUCUAAGUCAGAUAUGUUUCUCUACAGAGCAGGUUCAUGGGUGCUGUGGCUACUAAUAGUUCCUGAGCUUUGCAUGUCAUAUACUCCACUACUAUAAGAAGUCUACUUCCAUAUAGGUCCCAUAUUCCCACCGGCACAUUUUAGGUUAGGGGGCCACUCCGGUGCCAAUCAAAUAUGAAAGCUUCUGCUGCCUAUGUGACUGAUAAGAAGACAACAGCUUCUGGUCCAAAUGCUGGUGAACAGUCCAUUAGGCAAGGCGUCAAGUAUGUCCAUGCCUCUGUGUGCUUUUACCCAAAUGGCCUGUAACUGAGACUAUGCCCCUAAAAUGGCAUCUUUGGUGUUGCUUUCCUAGGUUCUUCAGGCAGUCAGUUAACUUCCUUUGCUACAGAGGCCCCUUAGAACUGCUUAUAGAAAUUUAAAUAACUCAGUGCCGUGAGUGUUUCAGUUGUGAACUAUGAUACAUUUAUAGCUAGAUAGAGUUAUUUUUACAAAAAAUAAUACGACAUUGAUAAGGUCCAAUAAACAUUGAAUUGUUGAUAUAAAGCACAUCAGAAUAUGUGUGGCAUUUCACUUGCUUUCAAUUAGAAUUGUAAACUUCCAGAGUUGUCUUGGAUGUCGCAUCAAUUCCUGUGUAAAUCAUUGGUCACUAAAUAAAUUCUGUUCUUCAAAGGUGGAUUUAAUUGUUAAAGCUGUAGGUUUGACUCAGGCUAUUUCUUCCAAUAUUUUUAAUUUGAUUUUGCAUUCAAAAACAAUUAUAGGGCAGCCUGGGUGGCGCAGCGGUUUAGUGAGCCACACAUUUUGGCCCCGGGUGUGAUUCUGGAGACCCGGGUGUGAUUGUGAACAAUUGUUUUAGUCCCGUGUCGGACUUCCUGCAUGAAGCCUGCUUAUCCCUCUGCCUGUGUGUGUCUCUGCCUCUCUGUGUGUCUCCCAUGAUUUAAAAAAAAAAAAAAAAAAAAAA